GAGGGUAUAGCUCAAGUGGUAGAGCGCAUGCUUGGCAUGCACAAGGUCCUGGGUUCAAUCCCCGAUAUUGCCA
RNAcentral lists this transfer RNA (73 nucleotides) under Camelus bactrianus (Bactrian camel). It matches the Rfam family "tRNA". From Rfam's summary of the family: Transfer RNA (tRNA) molecules are approximately 80 nucleotides in length. Their secondary structure includes four short double-helical elements and three loops (D, anti-codon, and T loops). RNAcentral also lists the same sequence under 2 other names. Lineage: Eukaryota; Metazoa; Chordata; Mammalia; Artiodactyla; Camelidae. The record is from Rfam by way of RNAcentral.